UGGAUGAUUCCAAUAGGGUCUAGCUGCAGCCUGAGGGGGCGAGUGGAGCUCCACUCUCGAACAGGAAAUACGUCACCUCCAAUAGUUUAAUUACUGUAUUUGCAUUAUUUGUAAGGGUAGGUUUAGGGUUGGGGUAGGUGUAGACAUUAGUAAAACAAGUAUUUGCAUUACUGUAAAGGGUAGGUUUAGGGUUGGGUUAGGUGUAGAUGUAAGUAAAACACAAGUGGAGGUGACGUAUUUCCUGUUCGAGAGUGGAGCUCCACUCGUCCAUGGUCUGCAGCCAGACCCUUCUCGAUGAUUCAGCUGCGGGCGCCAUCUUCUGGCGAGACGCGGGAAUUUAUUCUGCACGACCCUUAAAGUACACUGUCACGAAGUCGACAAACAGCUCCUGUCACGGUUGUUUUCUGUCUUCAGUUGAUGCUUGGACCCCUAAAAAUAGCCAAUACCUGAAAAUAAUGUCAUGUGCCAUACAUUAAUGAUUACUGCAAAUUUGUUAUUUUUGCCUAAUUUGGUGAAUUGUGGGACAACAGCCUAGAAGGUGUUUGAAAAAGUAUAUUUUCCCCCCCAGAAAAUUCAAAAUAGAGAAUUUUUAAAGACAGAAAUGAAACCAGAGGGCAUCACCCCCCCAAAAAUGUUUCUAGUCCUUUAUAGGUUUCAAAAGUUACGACCCAAAACAUAAAUCACUUUAUUAUAGCGCCACCUAGUGUCAGACUUAGCAGUGCACAAUUGGGACCAUCCUGCUGAGUUUGGGAUCUCUGAUGCCCAUACACUUUUAGGGCAGAAAAAUAAUGAAGAAGAAAAUCAGUACAAGCAUCUUCGACCAGCAGGUGUCACCGGUCUGGCGUUUCAAGCGCCUCAAAAGAACGAAUCAUUUUGAGAAACAAUUGGUUUCGAAAAGCUUCAUCACUACUGCAUUCAGCUUGAGAAGAUCUUGAUUGAUUAUUGGUAGCGGUUUCCACAUGAACGCCGAAAAGAUUGGCAGGAGUACACAGGUGGACAGACUGCAGCACUCAAUGGACAACUUAUAUAUUUACAGCUGUCCUCUUCAGUAAAAAUAAAGAUGCCAGACGUUUUGAAUCAUUGAUAUUUUAUUGUGUUUCUCCUCAGAGGGUCAGUCUGGU
This is a long non-coding RNA of Megalobrama amblycephala (Wuchang bream), 1121 nucleotides long. RefSeq lists it as uncharacterized. NCBI's taxonomy places the organism in Eukaryota, Metazoa, Chordata, Actinopteri, Cypriniformes, Xenocyprididae. The transcript has 3 exons. The record is from RefSeq and is a predicted model, not a curated record.